CAAGUAUCUUGUUGGCCUGCCCUUUGCUCUCUGAUGGAAUUCAACAAAAUCAUCUCCAAGUGAUGUAGUUUAAAGAUGACUUUACAACCACCUGUGUUCCAGAAGUGGGACAUGACUCUGUCCGUAUCUGGAAAUUGAAGCCUCUCCCAUCUGUCACCCUGAAAUGCUGGUGAGAUUGACUUCAAGGAACACAGUCAACGUUUGUUUUUGGAGACUGCAGGG
Molecule: long non-coding RNA, 222 nt
Filed under: Capra hircus (goat)
Lineage: Eukaryota; Metazoa; Chordata; Mammalia; Artiodactyla; Bovidae
Description: lncRNA (ENSCHIG00000006282.1)
Source: RNAcentral